GGGGCCGACCUGGAUUCGACGCCGGUAUUGAACUCUGUGGUGCAUGUCGAGAAGGUCACGAUUCUCGUAAAUCCUUAGUGACACAUUAAAGUAAUCGCAAACGACGAUUCUUACGCACUAGCAGCUUAAACCCUGCUUAUCGCCAAUCGACCCUGCCUGUGGGGAAGAGCGGCGAGCAUCGCAACACAGGCUCGCAGCAACGUCCGC
Molecule: transfer-messenger RNA, 207 nt
Filed under: Alcanivorax sp.
Lineage: Bacteria; Pseudomonadati; Pseudomonadota; Gammaproteobacteria; Oceanospirillales; Alcanivoracaceae
Description: partial transfer-messenger RNA
Rfam family: transfer-messenger RNA
About the family: Bacterial tmRNA, also known as 10Sa RNA or SsrA, is named for its dual tRNA and mRNA-like properties. Its role is to liberate the mRNA from a stalled ribosome. To accomplish this part of the tmRNA is used as a reading frame that ends in a translation stop signal.
Source: RNAcentral